Molecule: long non-coding RNA, 2637 nt
Organism: Carassius carassius (crucian carp)
Lineage: Eukaryota; Metazoa; Chordata; Actinopteri; Cypriniformes; Cyprinidae
Exons: 3
Source: RefSeq, a predicted model, not a curated record
GAGAUGAGACGGACACAAAGACCUCGUCGCCUGCUUGCAGCUCAAACAGGCCGCCUUGGUACACUGAGUGAAGGGCAUAUUCUGCGUCCGGAGCCCAGCAUUUGGUCCCCACUCCCUUCAGCAGCUGAAUCGGCCUCAGGCAUUUUUGACAUCGGGAUCUUAUGGAUGGAUGGGUCAUGAACAGUCAAUGGAGGGUACAAAAAGCAUGUGCAUCUCCCCGUUCCCUUUCUGUCUGGCAUCAUCCAAGAGUGAGUGUGUGAUGGAGUCUCUGUUGUUCUUGGCUCUCUCUCUCUCUCUCUCCAUUCAUCAGAAAGCCGAGCGCCUGCAGCCUUUAUAUCAUGACAUAAUCUUACCCAGGCCACAGCAGAGAUGGAUUUGACUUUUUCACCAUAAUUUCUGGUAAAUGAUCCUGAAAUCAAUUCCACAUCUCACAUAUGGAGCAGAUAAAGGGCUAUUUUACAAGCAUGUUCUUGUACAUGCAGCAUGUCAUACAAGAAAGACAGAAGGAAAAAGAGAACAAGACGGAUAGACCGAAAUCAUUUCAAUUGUCUUUAUAAAUAUUUUCAUUUUCCUGCUAUGCUGCUUUAUUUUAUUUACUCUGCUAUGUAAUAUUCUACUUUUCUUGAUGGAUGGAUGGAUGGACAGAUAGACAGAUUGCUAGGAUGUUGCUAUGAUGAUGUACUGUAAGAUGGUUACUAGGGUGUUUGGGGUGGUUGCUAGGACAAAAAGAGAGACCGAUAGCUCCUGAUGGAAUCCAGUUGGGCUUUCUGUUAUAACUGAUCAAAAAGGAUCAUAACUUUCAAAAAAAAUGUGACACCAAAAGUAAUUUAAAAAUAUCUUUCAAAAUUUUUAAACUCCUUUCUGGACAAAUGUUCUGUAAGGACUGUAAGAAUCAUUUAAGAAUCUAAAACUCCCGUAGGACUUUUGGUUUAUCCAGUAAGAUCUUAUGGGAUUUUUAGUUGAUCCCAAUAGGAUCCUUUUGGAUUGGUUCCCAUUUAUGACAGAAAUUACAAUAACACUCUUAAAAAUAAAGGUGCUUCAAAAGGUUCUUCAAGCGAUGCCAUAGAAGAACCAUUUUUGGUUCCACAAAGAACCAUUCAGUCAUCUCUUUCUUGCGUUUUUAUAAUCUGAAGAAACUUCCUUCACCACAAAUAACCUUUUGUGAAACAGAAAGGUUCUUCAGAUGAACUGCUAUGGCAUCGUGAAACAACUUUAUUUUUAAGAGUGAAGAAUCCAUCACACAGUCUUUUUUUUCCCUAGAGAGUCAGUGAGGUCUAGUUGAAGUCACUGCACAAUUUGUUUUCUGGAAAACACAACAUAGUUCAUUAGGUGGAGGCCAGAGAACAGACCCAUUCAAAGACCUCAACAAUAACAAUAAACACACCCGGCAUUAAACCUUUGGCCCCCUGCACUCGUGCGCCAGAAAAGACGAACGACCAAAGAAGAUUUCUCCUUCAUUCAAGGAGCAGGAAGCUGGUGAAUGCAUGCACACAGUCAUUAGCAUCCUCUCCAGCAAAGCUUAGUCAGGCGGCAAUCCAAUACUUUAAAACAGCUGUAAUUUCCAGAGUUUGCUCCGUCGCUGAGAUUCUGAAGCACAGCAUGUUCUCUUCCUCCAGGAGGAUUAUUAAUAAAUAAUUGUUGCUUUCCUUGGGGCAUAGAGCAUGCACGGCAAACAAUAAAUCUCAGAGCGCUAGACUUUGUUCAGUGUGACUCAGGUAAAUGGCUAAUAACCCACAGCAUACACACACUAUAUUUUACUGUACGCACACUCUGCCUGGAUAAAAUCAGUGCACGCCUGUUAUUGGCCUUUGAAUGAAUGGGGUGUGUGUGUAUGCUUACAAGUUGUUUCCUGCCAUUCUUGGCUGCUGUCUGAGGUUGACCCCAUUCCUCUAUACCUCAGCCCCCUUCAACAGAGCCCUCCACGUUCCACUACAGAGCACAACAGUCUGAUCUUAAGCAUUAUGAGAAUUCAUCUCUCUUUUUAUCUCUUUCUCUCCCCUUCUGUAAAAGUCUGCAUCUAUUAACCUGGGACGGCUGCUUCUAAGUUACAACUUAGUUUAUCUUAGCUGUAGCGGAAAUGAAAACUACAUUACAACCAAAAAAAUUUGAUCAUUGGACUGUUACACUUAAAUCAAAAGUUAGCCUUUGUAUGAACUAAAUAUUUAUGAAACCUUUUGACCAGGAGGAUGUUAUUCAGCUGGUCUGCCAGUAAUAUGACAGACUGAUUGGAUUACAUCAGUGAGAGCAUACUUUUUGUGACAUAUAUAUUGUUCUAUAGUUGGGGGUCAGUACACGUUUUUUUUUAAAUGUUCUUUGAAAGAAGACGUCUCAUGCUUAAGAUUUAUUUGAUCAAAAAUGUAGUAUAAAAAAAGAAGAAAUAUUGUGAAAUAUUAUUACAAUAUAGAACAAAUAUAUUGUUUUAAUAUAUUUUAAAAAGUAAUUUAUUCCUGUGAUGCAAAGCUUAAUUUUUAGCAGCCAUUACUUACAAUUGUCACACAGUACUCCAUAAAUCAUUCUAAUAUGCUGAUUUGGUACACAAAAGUAAAACAUUUCUUAUUAUUAUCAAGGCUGAAAAUGGUUGUGCAUGCUUAAUAUUUUUGCGGAAACGGUGAUACAGUUUUAUUUCAGAAUUUUUGA